GAGGCAAAAUUUGGGAUUGGGUUAGUCUUCUUUAGGAUAAUAUUGUUUUGCUAAUCUCUCUUAAUUAUCAUUAGACUACCGAAUUGAUAGAAUCAAUUGCAUAAUUAUACUAUAAUAGGUAAUUUGUUCUUGGUUGUUGUUACUAUAUAGGUUUGAAAGAACAAAAGCUUCAAUGAAAGAAAGAAAGAAAGGUGAAGACAAAGUUUUUUGUGAGAAUUCGCUACACAACUGCAAGUCGUAUAGAGACAAUUUAUCCUCAGGGAUUCCAAGUCUUCAUUGAGAAGUUCAUACUGUCAUACUGCCAUGUCAUUUGGAAAAGCUGGAUUAAUAGACAUAUUUUCAAGAUUUUUAUUGUCAACAAAGAAAUCAGUGAACUGGUCAUCAUGGUGGUUGUUAAUUGCUACUUGAAGGAGCUGGUUAUUGACAUCAUCAAUGUUGUUAGAAUGCUGCAGAUGCUCGUGGCUCGGGUGGUUAGUAAAGAACACGCCAUCACUUACACAGCUAGUAAUGCUACUUUCUUGAGAGAAAUAGUGAAAGUUAUUGUUAGCUUCUUGAUGAUCAUCAGCUAAUUGUGGAUGAUCAGUCCCAUAGCUUGAGCCAGCAUUAUCGCUAGCAUUCAUCGAGAACAUGCCAUGAUCACCAUGCAAUUGAAGCAUGAAAUCUGCAGUUUCAGUACUUGAGAAUAAUUUGCUCAAUGACUCCCAUUCUUCAUCAAAAAAAGCUCCCACAUGCUCCAUUUCUUUUUCGGUUAAGUGUGUGUAUGUUUCUAAUAUUGAUGGCCUAAUGGGUGUUAGGCCAAGAGAGAAUGACUUUACUAAAUAUUAUUCAGUUGAUAUACUGACAAAAUAAGCUUUUGAGGGUGGUCUCACACUUGGAAUGAGCUAAAAGUUGGGGACAUUUAUACGAGAAAAGGUUACAAAGGAAUUGGAAGAAUGUUUAGAAAAGGAUUAAAUUGAUUU
Long non-coding RNA from Lycium ferocissimum, 959 nucleotides. RefSeq lists it as uncharacterized. The transcript has 2 exons. The record is from RefSeq and is a predicted model, not a curated record. NCBI's taxonomy places the organism in Eukaryota, Viridiplantae, Streptophyta, Magnoliopsida, Solanales, Solanaceae.